GGUUCGUUAAGUUUGAUGUGAAAUCCCCGGGCUCAACCUGGGAACUGCAUUCAAAACUGACGAGCUAGAGUAUGGUAGAGGGUGGUGGAAUUUCCUGUGUAGCGGUGAAAUGCGUAGAUAUAGGAAGGAACACCAGUGGCGAAGGCGACCACCUGGACUGAUACUGACACUGAGGUGCGAAAGCGUGGGGAGCAAACAGGAUUAGAAACCCCUGUAGUCC
RNAcentral lists this ribosomal RNA (220 nucleotides) under Escherichia coli. Its description in RNAcentral is "partial 16S ribosomal RNA". It matches the Rfam family "Bacterial small subunit ribosomal RNA", at positions 577 to 796 of the family's 1533-position model. Lineage: Bacteria; Pseudomonadati; Pseudomonadota; Gammaproteobacteria; Enterobacterales; Enterobacteriaceae. The record is from RNAcentral.